Molecule: ribosomal RNA, 936 nt
Filed under: Triticum aestivum (bread wheat)
Lineage: Eukaryota; Viridiplantae; Streptophyta; Magnoliopsida; Poales; Poaceae
Description: partial small subunit ribosomal RNA
Source: RNAcentral
AUGAGCCAUACAAUGAAGCUAUGGGAGAGAGUCAUUGAGCACCGCUUAAGAAGAAUGACAAGCGUGACCAAAAAUCAGUUUGGUUUCAUGCCUGGGAGGUCGACCAUGGAAGCCAUUUUCUUGGUACGACAACUUAUGGAAAGAUAUAGGGAGCAAAAGGACUUGCAUAUGGUGUUCAUUGACUUGGAGAAGGCCUAUGAUAAGAUACCGCGGAAUGUCAUGUGGUGGGCCUUGGAGAAACACAAAGUUCCAGCAAAGUACAUUACCCUCAUCAAGGACAUGUACAAUAAUGUUGUGACAAGUGUUCGAACAAGGGAUGUCGACACCGAUGACUUCCCGAUUAAGAUAGGAGCGCAUCAGGGGUCAACUUUGAGCCCUUAUCUUUUUGCAUUGGUGAUGGAUGAGGUCACAAGGGAUAUACAAGGAGAUAUCCCAUGGUGUAUGCUCUUUGCGGAUGAUGUGGUGCUAGUUGACGAUAGUCGGACGGGGGUAAAUAGGAAGUUAGAGUUAUGGAGACAAACCUUGGAAUCGAAAGGGUUUAGGCUUAGUAGAACUAAAACCGAGUACAUGAUGUGCGGUUUCAGUACUUCUAGGUGUGAGGAGGAGGAGGUUAGCCUUGAUGGCCAGGUGGUACCUCGGAAGGACACCUUUCGGUAUUUGGGGUCAAUGUUGCAGGAGGAUGGGGGUAUUGAUGAAGAUGUGAACCAUCGAAUCAAAGCCGGAUGGAUGAAGUGGCGCCAAGCUUCUGGCAUUCUCUAUGACAAGAGAGUGCCACAAAAGCUAAAAGGCAAGUUCUACAGGACGGCGGUUCGACUUGCAAUGUUGUAUGGCGCGGAGUGUUGGCCGACUAAAAUGCGACAUGUUCAACAGUUAGGUGUGGCAGAGAUGCGUAUGUUGAGAUGGAUGUGUGGCCACACGAGGAAGGAUCGAGUAUGA